This 440-nucleotide ribosomal RNA is filed under the name uncultured bacterium. Its description in RNAcentral is "bacterial SSU rRNA". It matches the Rfam family "Bacterial small subunit ribosomal RNA", at positions 340 to 773 of the family's 1533-position model. The record is from RNAcentral.
UACGGAAGGCAGCAGUGGGGAAUAUUGCACAAUGGGCGCAAGCCUGAUGCAGCCAUGCCGCGUGUAUGAAGAAGGCCUUCGGGUUGUAAAGUACUUUCAGUCGUGAGGAAGGUGUUAAGGUUAAUAACCUUAGCAAUUGACGUUAGCGACAGAAGAAGCACCGGCUAACUCCGUGCCAGCAGCCGCGGUAAUACGGAGGGUGCGAGCGUUAAUCGGAAUUACUGGGCGUAAAGGGCACGCAGGCGGUUAAUUAAGUUGGAUGUGAAAUCCCCGGGCUUAACCUGGGAAUGGCAUUCAAGACUGGUUAGCUAGAGUCUUGUAGAGGGGGUAGAAUUCCGAUGUGUAGCGGUGAAAUGCGUAGAGAUGUGGAGGAAUACCGGUGGCGAAGGCGGCCCCUGGACAAAGCUGACGCUCAUGGUGCGAAAGCGUGGGGAGCAAAC